Long non-coding RNA from Phyllostomus hastatus (greater spear-nosed bat), 1200 nucleotides. RefSeq lists it as uncharacterized. Lineage: Eukaryota; Metazoa; Chordata; Mammalia; Chiroptera; Phyllostomidae. The transcript has 3 exons. The record is from RefSeq and is a predicted model, not a curated record.
AGGAAAGGCAGACCUCCGAGAAGAUUCCGUAAAAGGCCCUUAGGCUAGUCAACGUUGGCUAGGGUUUUGGACCUGUCAUCAACUUGCAGUGUGGCUCUGGGCUGUGCACCGCCAAGGCCAAGGUUGCCAGCUACACAGACUGGAUGAUGGGGCCCCAUGGAGUUGUACCGCGCAGUGGCUUCUCCCAUGGGCUCUCAUGAGAAGCAGAUGAAAUGAUGAUUGUCAUCUCGACCAAUUAUUGAUCACCUGUCAUGUGCCAGGCUCUGUGUUAAGCACUAAACAUUUUACCCUCCCAGACCCCCUACAAGGUGUCUUUGGAAUGUGUCUUCUUCUCUCUCCUACUGCUAUUGCCCUGACCCGUGUUGACCCGAGAGUUUCAGCCCGUGCUAUCCCAGCCAGACGGAUCUUCCUCUCACACCGAGCUCAGCAUGCCCCUCUGGAUAUGGAGAAGGUUGGCAAUAUUCAAAUGCCCACAUCGCAUCAGGCCCUGUUUUACGACCUGUGCUCAUUUCAUUUAACACUGUCCACAACCUUAUGAACUGCCUUAUUAUCCUUAAGCACAAGGAUCAAGAAAUUAUUUCAAGGCCUUUUCCUAGCCGCCCAAACUCCCCACAUAAUGCAGCUCUGAUUUGACUAUCUGGCCUUAGAAUGCACUCUACCCCAGGGCAGCCUUGGUCUGCAUCAGGCUAGUCUCUGCUCAGGGGCAGGGCUGGACGGUGGGCCAGCUCACUGGCAGAAGGCGCGGCCAGACAGUGAAGGCAGAGUUCACGCCUAGCUGGCUGCACUUGGGACACACCGCUCCUACCGCUGCUACUGCUGCUAAUGGGUCAUGGUGGUAGUGGUAGGGAACUGUUAGGGGGUUAACUGCAUCCCCCUGAAACUCGUGUGUUAAAGUCCUAAUGCCCAGUACUUCAGACUGUGACUGGGUUUUCAGGUAGGGCCUUUGAAGAGGUGAUUAAGUUAACAUGAGGUCAUUGGUGGGGGGGGUCGUCAUCCAGUAGGGCUGGUGUCCUCCGGAGAAGAGGUCCCAGACACGCAUGUGGGGAAACCACGUGAGGACACAGGGAGAAGCUGGACCUCCACAGGCCAAAGAGAGAGGCCUCAGGAAAAACCAAAGCUGUCGACAUCUCAAUCUCAGACUUUCCAAAAUGUGAGAAAAUACAUUUCUGUCAUCCCAGCUGCUCAGGCUGGGGUGCCUUG